Molecule: transfer RNA, 70 nt
Filed under: Austrolebias bellottii
Lineage: Eukaryota; Metazoa; Chordata; Actinopteri; Cyprinodontiformes; Rivulidae
Description: tRNA-Gln
Rfam family: tRNA
About the family: Transfer RNA (tRNA) molecules are approximately 80 nucleotides in length. Their secondary structure includes four short double-helical elements and three loops (D, anti-codon, and T loops).
Source: RNAcentral
UAGAAAAUAGUGUGAUGAAGCACUAAGAGUUUUGAUCUCUUCAGAAUGGGUUCAAAUCCCCUUUUUCUAA